CUGCGCAUGUCCGACCUUCGUCCGCCAUCACCGUUGUGAACAGAGAAACGUACUGCACUUUCUCCGCCGAGUUUUCACUCUUUUGAGCUAUCAUCAUGUCAGACGUCCCGGCAGGCAGACUCCCCAAGCCCCAGAUGAGGGGACUUCUCAUCAGCCACCUCAAGAAGCACGGUGCCGUCGCUCUCGUGUUCGCCAUGGGCGUCACACUGGCGUACAAGAUGGCCGUCGCAGAUCCACGUAAGCGUCAUUAUGAGGAGUUCUAUAAGAACUACGAUGUGAAGAAAGAGUUCGAGGCUAUGAAGGAGGCCGGCAUUUUCCACUCGGCUCGACCCAGCUGGGAGCAGGCAGACGACUAACCCCUCAUGAUCAUCUGUAGAACAGUCACUAUAGGUUGUGAAGAGGAUUGAUUGCUGCUCCAUCCAGGAGAUUGUACAAGAUGUAAUACAUGUUUGUCCACAAUAUUUUAUGUCAUUUGAAAAGUAACACUAUACAUUGUAGUCUUGACACUGAAUAAAGAAUGUCAUAGUGUGUAAAUUUA
Long non-coding RNA from Branchiostoma floridae (Florida lancelet), 538 nucleotides. RefSeq lists it as uncharacterized. Lineage: Eukaryota; Metazoa; Chordata; Leptocardii; Amphioxiformes; Branchiostomatidae. The transcript has 4 exons. The record is from RefSeq and is a predicted model, not a curated record.